CAUCUUGAGGUCAAGAUUAUCAAUUUCAGGAUUGUUGGGCAUCGAAAUAGCCUCUUCUAGUGAAUUUUUGAAGUGCACCUCAACUUGCUUGUUUAAGGCCCAUAUUUUUUUUAGGGAUUAUCUAUAAAGAGACUAUUUAUGUUCUGUAAAUGGAGGUAUAAUCAUUCUUGUCCAUGAAAUUUCAAAAUAAGCGGUUAAAAAAAUCUUGUACUUUAUGAUUCACCCUAAGCCAUCCAAUUUGACAGUUAAUGAGUGGAAAUGCUUGUGAACUCCAUGUACAAAAGAUAAAUGAUCUCUCUAUAGAUAAUUUUUUUAUAUAUGAGACUAUAUACAAUGAGGCCAAAAAAGUUUUUAUGCUUCCCCUAUAGCAUAGAAGUUUUAUCCUCCCCCUACUAUCCAG
This 400-nucleotide long non-coding RNA is filed under the name Amborella trichopoda. Its description in RNAcentral is "long non-coding RNA (ATRI_LNC002412)". The record is from RNAcentral. Lineage: Eukaryota; Viridiplantae; Streptophyta; Magnoliopsida; Amborellales; Amborellaceae.